Molecule: ribosomal RNA, 253 nt
Filed under: uncultured bacterium
Lineage: Bacteria
Description: partial 16S ribosomal RNA
Rfam family: Bacterial small subunit ribosomal RNA
Source: RNAcentral
UACGAAGGGGGCUAGCGUUGCUCGGAAUCACUGGGCGUAAAGCGCACGUAGGCGGAUUGCUAAGUCAGGGGUGAAAUCCUGGAGCUCAACUCCAGAACUGCCCUUGAUACUGGCGGUCUUGAGUCCGGGAGAGGUGAGUGGAACUGCGAGUGUAGAGGUGAAAUUCGUAGAUAUUCGCAAGAACACCAGUGGCGAAGGCGGCUAACUGGUCCGGUUCUGACGCUGAGGCGCGAAAGCGUGGGGAGCAAACAGG